This is a long non-coding RNA of Camelina sativa (false flax), 993 nucleotides long. RefSeq lists it as uncharacterized. The record is from RefSeq and is a predicted model, not a curated record. NCBI's taxonomy places the organism in Eukaryota, Viridiplantae, Streptophyta, Magnoliopsida, Brassicales, Brassicaceae.
UUUCAUAGAUCCGUCGGGAAACUGUCGGGAGUAAUGAAAAUUUUUAAAAAUUUCCGUAUGGACUCCGUCGGAAAACACCAAAUUAUACCCGGGAAAUAAUUUUCCCAAAUUUUUUGGAUAUUGCGGGAAUGAUUAAUUUAGAAUUUUGGGUUUAGAUAAACCACAAACUUUUUCACCUUCUCUUCUCACCUCUUCACCGGCUCACUUCUUGUUCCUCACCCCCAAAUUUUUUCUUCACCGAUUCACAAUUAUAAAUCCUAGAUUUUGUUGCUCCCUCUUUCUCUCUUCUAAAUCCCAGAUUUUGUUCCUCAAAUCAACCCCAACCACUCAACUAUGGAUUACGAAGCAUAUCGUUCUCGUCGAAACCGCUCCACCCAAAACCGACAAGAACCCAAUGGUUCUGGGUCACCGAUUCAAACCCUCUCCGCAAGAGUCUCGGGAUCGCCUACAGCUGCCUCACCUCCCAUCCUAAUGACCAUUGAGGAUUUCGUUUCUCAACCAGGACGAGAACUUAUCCCAAAACCUCAUCCCAACUACAUUGGAGACAUGGUUUGAGGCAUCUGGAAAUGGCAUUAGCAAAUCUAUAAAUCGGAUGAUGUAUGGACUCCUCAAAGAACCUUAUGAAACAUACUCCUCAAUGCCAAGUGAUGACCGUACUUGUUUAUCACUUGGCAUCUUCAUCACCAAUAUAUGAUCGUACUUCUUUAUCAUCUUCAUCACCAAUAUAUGAUCGUGAUCCUGAAUUUGUGCGUGCCCUCCAAGAGAAAGAUGACCGAAUAGAAGCUCUUGAGAAGAUGAUGGAAAAAGAGAAUGAGAGGAACAAGCUGAGAGAUGAGGAGCUUGCGUCGUUCAUGGCAGAGAUGCGAUCUAAGUUUCCCGUGAAUUCAAGUUCUUAGAUAUAUAAGAUCACAAUAUUUAAGUUUUGUGGAACUUUUUUUUUUUUGAUUUGUGUAUAUUACAUUUUCUUUUUAUGGAUGAUUUGUUUAUUUUGUA